This is a long non-coding RNA of Oncorhynchus nerka (sockeye salmon), 4302 nucleotides long. RefSeq lists it as uncharacterized. The transcript has 4 exons. The record is from RefSeq and is a predicted model, not a curated record. Lineage: Eukaryota; Metazoa; Chordata; Actinopteri; Salmoniformes; Salmonidae.
GCAUCUUGUUUCUAUAAAAUGAGCUGCUCGUACUGCAGUUUUUUCCCCGAAAGAUAUUAUGUUACCCAUGGAGAACUGCAAAUAUGUUGCUACUGCUCUCAAUAACAUUGCUGCCCUGAAUCUAUCAGGCGCUAUCGACAAAGGGGUUGCAGUCUGCCGUGAAGCUUUCAUCCAUGUAUACAGCAUCAAUCAGCAGAACACGCCUGACUCUAAUCCACCAGUCAUACAGUCAUCAAAAAGAGAGCUGGCCCAAGCAACUACAUGCACCAUUUCUUCAACUAUGGAGUUGGGAAAACAAGUGUGGACCUGAAUUGUGAUAACUGUGGCCAAAAGAGGAACAAGUUUGUGCUCUGGUAUUGUGCCUGGCGGACCAUGCACAACCUCCACCACAAUCUGGACCUUCAACUUCCUGAUCACAGGCCACAGCAAGUUUGCCCCUGACUUGUGCUUCUGUCUCAUCAAGCAGCGCUUCAGAAAGAUCAGAGUGAAAACUUUGUCUCAGAAUGCUGAUGUUGUGAAGGACAGCACUGUGAUAGGGGUCAACGUCCCACAGCUGGUUGGACUGGGUGAUGGUACGGUGCUGGUGGAAAGCUAUGCCUGGCAACAACACCUAACAACACCUGUGCUUUAGACCGCUGCCACAGAUCAAGCAGUACCGGCACUUCAGUUUUGAUGUUCUGGAGCCUGUUGUCUCCAAGGAGCGUUCGGACUCAGUCGUGACCAGGUUUCAGCUCCUGCGCAACGCUGUCAUCCUUCCUCCCAUAGAUGGACUGCCUGUAAAAAGCACCACAUGGACUGGACACAGUUUGUCUAGCUUUCUUUUUGACAAGAUCAGGGAGUUAUGUGAUGAAGAGGCUAUGGACAUCACAUGCCAUGCACCAAAGUCAAGGGCAGGACAGAAACAGGCUGUCCGAAUAUAGAUUCCCUUGUUAGUAGAUCUCUGGGUCUACUAACUGUUAGCAUCGGCUCCAUUGUAAACUAAAACAAUGAUAACUAACCUGAACAACAGUAUACAAGGCAUAUUGACAUUUGAGAGAGACAUACAGCGAGGCAUACAGUAAUCACAGGUGUUGAAUUGGGAGAGCUAGCUAAAACAGUAGCUAAAACAGUAGGUGAGACAACAACAGCUAAUCAGCUAGCACAACAACAGCAGGUAAAAUGGCGUUGACUAGGCAGGGAGGGUCGGAUUAACUACACACAGAGCCUGAGUGCGGCUGGGGCCGACAGAUAAAACAUAAACAAGCAGAAUGGAGUACCGUGAUUAAUGGACAGUCCAGCAUGCAUCAGCUAUGUAGCCAAGUGAUCAGUGUCCAGGGGGCAGCGGUGGAUGGGGCAGGGAAGCUAGACUGGCGAGUAUUAUCCAGGUUAAAAAAAAACUGGCUGGCUGUGCAGAAGGUAAAAGGUAAAAGCCGCUAGCAGUGGCUAACAAUGACUAAAUAGCUUGUGGCUAGUUAGCUGGUUAGCUUCUGGAGGUUCUUGAGUGUGUUCUAAAAAUUAAAAAUAAUAGCGAUUCCGUAUCACAUUGGGUGAGGCAGGUUACCAGAAGGUAUAAACGAAUUAAAAAUUGAAAAGAGAUUGAAAGUAAAUAUGGGUCCAGUGAGUGGUUGGGAUGCGGCGAUUCAGACGGUUAGCAGGCCUGUGCUAACAAGCUAACAGUUAGUAGGCCGGGGCUAAACAAGGUAGCAGUUAGCGGACCGGGGCUAAACAAGCUAGCAGUUAGCAGGCCGAAUUAGCAAGCAAGGAGAUAGCAAGAUCUAGAAAGUUAGCCUUUGGGGGACGUCGCGAUGGGGUGAGUCUGUUUAUGCCUCUUCAUGCGGUGACAUCGAUAGACCGGUCGUGGGUCCGGAUAUUGUAGCACAGGAGUAUGCUUCGGUGGUAGCACAGGAGCUCUGGUGGGCUAGCUUCAAGCUAAGUGGGUGGAAACGCUAGCCAGGAGUAAUCAUCCGGGGUUGCGGUUAGCUAGUUGUGAAGAUCCAGCUGAAAAUGUUCCGUUUGCGGUGGGAAUCCGGGGAUAAAAAAAUAAUAGGUCCGUUAUGCUCUGGUUAGAGUCGCGUUGUUUGAACUGGCGAGAGCUUUCCGAGCUAAAGGUUAGCUGAUGACCGGUUAGCUGAAGACCGCUAGCAAUGGUUUGCUGACUGAUAGCUGGUAGUUAGCUGGCUAGCUUCAGUUGAGGGGUUCCGGAUCCGAAGUAAAUAUAAAUACUUUAGAAAAAAAAGCAGAUCCGCGCUACAUUGGGUGAGGCGGGUUGCAGGAGAGUAUUUAGAAGUUGAGGUUUAGCUAAAUAUUUUAAAAGAUAUGCAAAGAAAAAUAUGUUAAAAAAACGGUAUAUACAAGGGACACGACACAACGUCUGACUGCUACGCCAUCUUGGAUCCAAGGUGUGUCUGUCGCUGAACUCAAAGCAGUCCAGAAGACAGCUAGACAUCGAAAAAUCUUCAAUGAAGUGACAUGUAACUGACAUGAAAGAAGUGGUUACCCUUGAUGUCCAGCAGUCAGUGGUAAGGCAAACUGCAGUAGCUUUUUGGACUUUUUCCAUUUUGAAAGUGUUUUCCCGCCUGGAAUUGUGUACACUGGAUUUAGACUAUUGCUAUAGUUUCUAAAACCUCUGUCCUCCACGAUCGAAAAUGGCUGGAAAUCGGUGGCAAUCAUUUUAGCCAAUGCAAUAUCAAUUUGGCCUUGUUUUGCUAGACUUUGGCAUAAACUGGUCCAUAGAAGACUGCAUUGCUGCGGGUCGCGGAGUAGGCCUACUUGAUUGAGUGGAUACAUCUCCACGUAUGGAGAUGCUGGCUCCACCACUAUCACUAGCAGGCCCGCUAGUUUUUCGAAACUCCGCUACAGCUAGCUUCACAGUUGGGUGCACAGUUCGCAUAUGCCGGUGUAGGUUGUGCGUAGAACCGGCUUAAUAUGGGAAUUUGUUUUGGCAAAUUCUACACUGUGCUCUAACACUGUCAACAUUAUUAAAAUGCAUCCAAAUACUACUGUGCUUCCGACUCAUUUUCCAGCUGUUGUCUUCACAGCUGUUCUUCCUCUCUCUCCUCGGCUGCUAAGUGUGUGACUGUGAGUGUAUUGGCUCGGCCCUCCCUCACGCAUAUUGACAGGAACAACAUGAGGCUGUUAGUCUGAGCAGACAGUCAACGAAUGUGUGCGCUUGAGCAUUUAGCCUAUAUUAUUUGAUGUAUUUUUUUCGUUCUUUGAGUUAGUUCAUUCUAUUCAUUUAAAUAUUUUGAUUAUUCAUAUCUUAAUUUUUUUUGUUACAUUUUUAUGAAUAGAUUUGGCUCUUCUGAUAUGCGAGCCGUCUCCCAACGUUCACCUACAAGAGCCCUUAGAGCCGACUCGUUCACUAAUCUCCAGUUUAGAGAAUAUCAGCUCGUGAGAAGUGAGAGCUCCAGCCAUCGUUGUGUUUUCCCACCAGUUAGCUUUCAUUGUGUUAGCCAAGGCCAGUGUGCGUCCUUGUUGAUAUGCAAGUACAUAUUUCAUACCUUUCAGGUGUUUAUGUCUGAAGAUGCACUCUGCGACGAUAAUGCCAUAUUUGUAGUUUCUACUGAGAGCUAGCUAUUGCGAGCGGGCUCUCUCUGUUUUGGCUGUCAUAUCAUUUCACACAUUUAACCCUGUAUUUGUAAAGGAAAAUGUCCCCCAGUGCAUUGUUUAUAUGCCCUGUAUAGGUGUAUGGCACAUCAUUAUAUGGGUAUUACAUUGUAUUUGACUGUUUAGAGGUAUUCAAGUUAAUUGUGCACUUGUAGCCCUGUACCGAAGAUGGUGCUAUGCUUUGUAGCACAUGUGCAGCACCACCACUUUGAUCUUAUUUAGUGCAGUCACAGUCAUGUUGAAUUGCGUUGUGUGGUCCUGUAUAGCAUUAAGUUAUCAUAGUCAUGUUAUAGCCAUGCAAAUUGUUUAUAAGAGAUGUGAAAUGGAGAUUGUAUUCUGUGGUAUCUUUAUUUCUCUCUUUACUUGCAGACUAACCACACUUUGGUUGACGCAAGUUGCCAGACCACUAAGAAAGAGCCUUUGCCCAUCCAUACUACAUACACUGUGCGGUUCCGUGCCUGUGCAGUCAGCGUUAUUAAACCACCUCAACUGGAAUCCUACCAGUCUGUCAUCUGUGCCCUUACCUGUACACGGGAGCGAACACAAAGUGUAUUAAGUAUGGAUGGGCUGGCAUGGAACCGCACAGUGUAUGUAGUAUGGAACCUAACCUAAAGACUAUACAGUUCACCAAAUCCUCACUUACACAAAUGAAAGCAUGAUGUUCACAUGAAAUUGACCAUCCCUUAGUGUAGCAAUCAAUAAAAACAUACGUGCUGA